Non-coding RNA from Paramuricea clavata, 97 nucleotides. The record is from the annotation of a GenBank genome assembly. NCBI's taxonomy places the organism in Eukaryota, Metazoa, Cnidaria, Anthozoa, Malacalcyonacea, Plexauridae.
CAAAGUUGAUCGUGUUUAUGACGUCGAAUAUCGACGUCAUAAACACCAAAGUUGAUCGUGUUUAUGACGUCGAUUUUCGACGUCAUAAACACCAAAG